Molecule: ribosomal RNA, 491 nt
Filed under: Staphylococcus aureus
Lineage: Bacteria; Bacillati; Bacillota; Bacilli; Caryophanales; Staphylococcaceae
Description: partial 23S ribosomal RNA
Rfam family: Bacterial large subunit ribosomal RNA
Source: RNAcentral
AUCCGGUGGUUCCGCAUGGAAGGGCCAUCGCUCAACGGAUAAAAGCUACCCCGGGGAUAACAGGCUUAUCUCCCCCAAGAGUUCACAUCGACGGGGAGGUUUGGCACCUCGAUGUCGGCUCAUCGCAUCCUGGGGCUGUAGUCGGUCCCAAGGGUUGGGCUGUUCGCCCAUUAAAGCGGUACGCGAGCUGGGUUCAGAACGUCGUGAGACAGUUCGGUCCCUAUCCGUCGUGGGCGUAGGAAAUUUGAGAGGAGCUGUCCUUAGUACGAGAGGACCGGGAUGGACAUACCUCUGGUGUACCAGUUGUCGUGCCAACGGCAUAGCUGGGUAGCUAUGUGUGGACGGGAUAAGUGCUGAAAGCAUCUAAGCAUGAAGCCCCCCUCAAGAUGAGAUUUCCCAACUUCGGUUAUAAGAUCCCUCAAAGAUGAUGAGGUUAAUAGGUUCGAGGUGGAAGCAUGGUGACAUGUGGAGCUGACGAAUACUAAUCGAUC